This 795-nucleotide long non-coding RNA is filed under the name Homo sapiens (human). RNAcentral's name for it is "novel transcript". The record is from RNAcentral. Lineage: Eukaryota; Metazoa; Chordata; Mammalia; Primates; Hominidae.
AAGGAAAUGGCACAGCAGGGAGAGGGACAUCACACACACCACCAAAUCCUCUUGUUAGUCUCUGGUUUCCACAUCCUUUUCCAAAUCUUCAGGCCAGCUCAUAGCCUCACUUUUCCAUCUCUUCUCCAUUCCUCCAAAGUAGAGCUUCCUGCUGCUACAGGAAUAGCUGCGAAGUGGGAAAGAUCAAGGGUUGUAAGAGCUGCCCCAGAUAAUCUACAAAGAGCUUUGCUAGAAUUAGGUUGUGCAUCUCUGAACCUGAGCUACUACAUGUGUUGGGUCAGGGACCAUGCUUACCUACCAGCUCAAGAAUUGACAGAGGAGGUAUCUAAGAAAUGCUUGUUGGAUGAAUAAAUAAACAGCUGAGUGGGUGUUUAUAUGAGCCUGAAAACUGCCUGCACCAGCACAAAAGUAAAGCCCUGACACCCUCAGGCCACACCUACUGGAAAAAGAUAUGUCAGCCCCAGAAAAAUGUGGGCAACUUGAGGAACAAACUCCUCUGCCCACUCGUCAUAUCCACAGUUUCAGAGAAGAGAAUGUCCCAGCUAGAAAAGCAAGUGGACAAGUGCCAACCCGAUGAGGCCACUGAAUUAUGCAGAAAGAUGACGCACAGAGAAGUGGCAGCCUGCUCCAGUUCCCGUAAUUAAAGAUUACAGUCAGGAUUGGAGCCCGAGGUCCUAACACCCAGUGCUCUCUCCACACUACCGUGGUGCCCGACUCAUACUUCUGCCACGACCACCCUCUCCAUUUCUGGCCCUGUUUGAAACCCCUAAUUCUCACUGAAAACAAUAAAUCCUC